This 606-nucleotide ribosomal RNA is filed under the name uncultured Meliniomyces. RNAcentral describes it as "eukaryotic LSU rRNA". The stretch from base 245 to 398 matches the Rfam family "5.8S ribosomal RNA". The record is from RNAcentral. Lineage: Eukaryota; Fungi; Ascomycota; Leotiomycetes; Helotiales; Helotiaceae.
CUUGGUCAUUUAGAGGAAGUAAAAGUCGUAACAAGGUUUCCGUAGGUGAACCUGCGGAAGGAUCAUUAAAAAAAAGAGAAACGUCCCGUUUUUUUCAUAAGAAUGGGUUCUAUUCCCUUAAACCGUGUCUACAUACCUUUGUUGCUUUGGCAGGCCGCCUUCGGGCGUCGGCUCCGGCUGAUAGUGCCUGCCAGAGGACCCAAACUCUAUGUUUAGUGAUGUCUGAGUUCUAUAUAAUAUUUAAAACUUUCAACAACGGAUCUCUUGGUUCUGGCAUCGAUGAAGAACGCAGCGAAAUGCGAUAAGUAAUGUGAAUUGCAGAAUUCAGUGAAUCAUCGAAUCUUUGAACGCACAUUGCGCCCCUUGGUAUUCCGAGGGGCAUGCCUGUUCGAGCGUCAUUAUAACCACUCAAGCCUGGCUUGGUAUUGGGGUUUUCGCGUGUUCGCGGCCCUUAAAAUCAGUGGCGGUGCCGUCUGGCUCUAAGCGUAGUAAUUUCUCUCGCUAUAGGGUUCCGGUGGUUACUUGCCAAAACCCCCCAUUUUUUCUAGGUUGACCUCGGAUCAGGUAGGGAUACCCGCUGAACUUAAGCAUAUCAAUAAGCGGAGG